This 21-nucleotide non-coding RNA is filed under the name Arabidopsis thaliana (thale cress). The record is from RNAcentral. Lineage: Eukaryota; Viridiplantae; Streptophyta; Magnoliopsida; Brassicales; Brassicaceae.
CUAACAGGUUCACCGUUUCUU